Molecule: ribosomal RNA, 467 nt
Filed under: uncultured bacterium
Lineage: Bacteria
Description: partial 16S ribosomal RNA
Rfam family: Bacterial small subunit ribosomal RNA
Source: RNAcentral
GACGAACGCUGGCGGCGUGCUUAACACAUGCAAGUCGAACGGUGAAGCUCCAGCUUGCUGGAGUGGAUCAGUGGCGAACGGGUGAGUAACACGUGAGCAACCUGCCCCUGACUCUGGAAUAAGCGCUGGAAACGGCGUCUAAUACUGGAUACGAGAAGGGCCCGCAUGGCACUUUCUGGAAAGUUUUUCGGUUGGGGAUGGGCUCGCGGCCUAUCAGCUUGCUGGUGAGGUAAUGGCUCACCAAGGCGACGACGGGUAGCCGGCCUGAGAGGGCGACCGGCCACACUGGGACUGAGACACGGCCCAGACUCCUACGGGAGGCAGCAGUGGGGAAUAUUGCACAAUGGGCGAAAGCCUGAUGCAGCGACGCCGCGUGAGGGAUGACGGCCUUCGGGUUGUAAACCUCUUUCAGCAGGGAAGAAGCGAAAGUGACGGUACCUGCAGAAGAAGCACCGGCUAACUACGUG